Long non-coding RNA from Myiozetetes cayanensis, 677 nucleotides. RefSeq lists it as uncharacterized. Lineage: Eukaryota; Metazoa; Chordata; Aves; Passeriformes; Tyrannidae. The transcript is spliced from 3 exons. The record is from RefSeq and is a predicted model, not a curated record.
AAAACGGGCACCAAGGGGAAGAGCACAGAAGCUUUCUGAAUUUCUCCAUGUAAAUGACUCUCUACGUUAUUUUCUAGAUCUCCUUUGAACUGCUGGUUCAAGAUCAGAACAAGGUUUACUGUAAUACAGCAAUGUGUAGAGUUAUGUCUGGAGAGAUGUCUGCAGCACAGCGCUGGAGAGGGCCCUCCCCCACCCCCGCCGAGCUCCUGAGUGCCUAUGAAGGCGAGAUGCUGAGAAAUUUGGAAAAUAGAGGAGCUCAACUGUGGGGAGUGGAGAGCGGUGUGGAGCAGGGUCAGCUGUGGCAAGAUGCAGCUGGCAAAGAGUCAUGGAGCAUGAUCAAGCAGUCCAUUCAAACCUGUACAUGUGCCCCAAGAACUUCAGGGGUAUAGCCUUAGUGAUUUUUUUUUCCACAUGAUUAAGGUUGUAUUGGGUUCUUAAACCUCUGUAUAAUCCAAUAAAGAAAAAAAAUUAAAACUUCUGUUAAAUUCUCUGUAUUAGAAGAAACCCUGCAACCUAGCCAUUUGUCUCUUUGUAGUGAUUGAUGCUUAUGUUUUGUAAGUGUUCCAUAAAAGCCAUUAUUCAUCAGCACAGGGAUUCAGCACAGUCAAAUGAGAAACUCACCGUUUGGAACUGUAUUUCUGAAAAAUCUUGCAUGUCCAUUUCUUCCCUUGGCCAGU